GAUGAACGCUGGCGGCGUGCCUAAUACAUGCAAGUCGAGCGAACAGACGAGGAGCUUGCUCCUCUGACGUUAGCGGCGGACGGGUGAGUAACACGUGGAUAACCUACCUAUAAGACUGGGAUAACUUCGGGAAACCGGAGCUAAUACCGGAUAAUAUAUUGAACCGCAUGGUUCAAUAGUGAAAGACGGUUUUGCUGUCACUUAUAGAUGGAUCCGCGCCGCAUUAGCUAGUUGGUAAGGUAACGGCUUACCAAGGCAACGAUGCGUAGCCGACCUGAGAGGGUGAUCGGCCACACUGGAACUGAGACACGGCCCAGACUCCUACGGGAGGCAGCAGUAGGGAAUCUUCCGCAAUGGGCGAAAGCCUGACGGAGCAAUGCCGCGUGAGUGAUGAAGGUCUUCGGAUCGUAAAACUCUGUUAUUAGGGAAGAACAAAUGUGUAAGUAACUAUGCACGUCUUGACGGUACCUAAUCAGAAAGCCACGGCUAACUACGUG
RNAcentral lists this ribosomal RNA (497 nucleotides) under uncultured bacterium. RNAcentral describes it as "partial 16S ribosomal RNA". It matches the Rfam family "Bacterial small subunit ribosomal RNA", at positions 28 to 507 of the family's 1533-position model. The record is from RNAcentral.